RNAcentral lists this ribosomal RNA (192 nucleotides) under uncultured bacterium. Its description in RNAcentral is "partial 16S ribosomal RNA". It matches the Rfam family "Bacterial small subunit ribosomal RNA", at positions 1311 to 1500 of the family's 1533-position model. The record is from RNAcentral.
UUCGCCUUCAUGAAGCCGGAAUUGCUAGUAAUGGCAGGUCAGCAUACUGCCGUGAAUACGUUCCCGGGCCUUGUACACACCGCCCGUCACACCAUGAGAGUUGGGGAUACCCGAAGCCUGUGAGCUAACUAUUUAUAGGAGCAGCAGUCGAAGGUAGAAUCAAUGAUUGGGGUGAAGUCGUAACAAGGUAGC